UGGUGAUUGCCCUCUUUGUUGUCUGGUGUUCUUUAUGUUCCCUACAGGAGCUGCCGAUACAAAGGCCUGACCCAGAAGAAAUUCUGCAUCACCUGUACCAUCAAGAUCAAGAUCAAGAUGUGCCCACAGCAGUGACAGGUUACACGCCGCAUGUUCUCAAGAAAUUCGCAAAAAUGAACACUAGAGUGGGGCAUCCACCCACACUUGGUCUUCCAUCGCUUUCCUAAAGAUCAUGACAGUUUGCCGUCCUGUCCCUGGGCAUGGUCCAGGAGGGUCACACUCCAGGAUUGAAGUGGCAAAAGUGAGGAGAGGUACAGCCCACGCCCUAAACAUCAAGUAAUGCUGGCUCCAUUAGAGCCAGUACACGUCACGUAGGCAACUGUACCCAAACAAAAACUACUGUCAGCAUACCGUCAAUAAAAUACAUCAAAGAAU
Molecule: long non-coding RNA, 435 nt
Organism: Portunus trituberculatus (swimming crab)
Lineage: Eukaryota; Metazoa; Arthropoda; Malacostraca; Decapoda; Portunidae
Exons: 2
Source: RefSeq, a predicted model, not a curated record